UUGAAAUCUUCUUUUCACAUUCUCUCUCUCCCACAAAACCCUAGCUUUCAAACCUCCCACCACCAUGAACUGGUGACAACCGUAAACCAUCAGAUCAUCUCCCAUAUGCUUGCUAUGAGUUUUUCUUUAUAUUAUUGUUUUUCAUGAGUUUGAUUUGUGGUUAUAUUUAGUUUUUUACAGAUCUGAACACUUGCAAUCGCCUGAAUAUUCACAGGAAGACCUUAUUGGAUCCUUCACCACAAAGGUUCCGAUCUCUAUCGCUGUCACCAUCGGAACACCACGAAGCAUAGAUCUAAGACCACGUAUAAUGAAAUCACCGAUCUUUUCUUUUCUCCCGCCUUCAAGGUUCACCUGCAUCGUCGUCGAUCUUCAUCUGUCGAUCUAAUCCUUCAACACCGAUCUCUUUCCUCUACGUCGAUCUCUUCCCUUACGAUACUCAUCCAGUUCCUUUUUUUUUUGUAUUCUUUUGUUGAACGUCUGAAAUCCUCUUGCUAAAAGUCAUCUUAAAUCUGAAGUCAGUUGUUUCCAUCGGAAAAACCAGAAAAAUGUCCACUACCACUCGCCGCCUCUCACUACCAAAAAAUAAAUUGGCCACUUUUAGUCUAAACUUCUGGUAACAUAUUUCUCAUGUACAAGUUUUGUUGUUAUUGUGGUCCUGGGAGUAUAUCCUAACUACAGGUGCUAUUUUGAUACCAUUUUUCGGUCUAUCCCCACUUAGAAGUCAAUAUAUCUCACUCACGAUGCCUCUGUUAUCCUCUCUAUUUACUGUGGCUUAAUGCCUUAUGGAUGUUGCUGCAUGUUUAUUUGUUUAGACAGAAAGAUGAAAAUUUUUAAGAUGUGUUUUCAUGUGAUUCAUCUUAGGAAUCAUUCCCAGGGUUUCUAUCAUUCCAGGGCAACCACGAGCUCGGAUCUUACAUGAUUCAUCAUAGUGAAUGCUAACUACAGAUAAGAAAGCUUCAUAGCCUUCUGAACUUUUUAAUGAUCUUAAAGAGAUGGUUGUUUCAUCUCCCAAUGAAACAUGUGCAUACUCUGAGAUCUUCUGGAAAGUUGAACAUCAACCAUUUGAACAAUAUAAAGAAAACUGCAAAGGAUGGUAAUCUGAUUCCAUUAUAUAGGUUUGCAGACCAAUAUUUUAGAAUUCUGCAAUGUGAAGGUAUAUUUUUUUAAGUGCAAUGUUCUAAUAGCUGCUUGAAAGUACAACGUUGUAAUAAAAAGAAUUGACAAAUUUCCAGUUAAAGUAUAAUGGCUCUAGGCACAAUAGACUAUGUCAAUAAUGAAUUAGAUAACUUUAUGUGAAUAUGGGAUGGAUACAUGUGGCUCUGGCUUGGUAACCUAUCAUGGUUGUUUGCAGGUUCAAAUAAUCUACGACCGGUCAAAUCUUAGAACUUUUGACUAAUGUGAUUAUUAUUUACAGUCAAUGCGAUCGUCACUGUUAAUUAUUUAGGUUAUGCAUGAGGCUGGAUCAAUAUGAUUAUGUAUCCAAGGUACAAGUGUACCUGUGUUCACAUUAUGCUAAGAAAGCCCUUUAUGUACUACACAUGCGAUGGUUCAUCUUGUUUCAAUGUGAUUGGUUUUGCAUCCAGGAUGGUUGAACCAAGCAAACAGACUAGAGAUGUCACAUGCAUGUUGGGUGUUAGUUGAAAUACAUUGAUAGUUAGGGCACAUUAUUGUUAUUUUAGAUAGUAUCAUAAUUGUAUAAACUUAGUGACAUUGAUUUCAUGAUUUGUAACAUUGUUAAAUGUAAGAAAUGACAAUUUAUUUUAAUUUAUU
This is a non-coding RNA of Lactuca sativa (garden lettuce), 1770 nucleotides long. The record is from RefSeq and is a predicted model, not a curated record. Lineage: Eukaryota; Viridiplantae; Streptophyta; Magnoliopsida; Asterales; Asteraceae.